CCUACGGGGGACAGCAGUGGGGAAUAUUGCACAAUGGGCGAAACCCUGAUCCAGCCAAGCCGCGUGAGUGAAGACGGUUCUCGGAUUGUUAAGCUCUGUUAGCAGGGAAGCGGAAGGACGGUACCUGCAGAGGAAGCCACGGCUAACUACGUGCCAGAAGCCGCGGUAAUACGUAGGUGGCAAGCGUUGUUCGGAAUAACUGGGCGUAAAGGAUGCGUAGGCGGUUAAACAAGUUAUAUGGUAAAUAUAUAGGCUUAACCUGUAGAAAGCAUAUAAAACUGUUUAACUAGAGUGCAGGAGAGGUAAGUGGAAUGCCUAGUGUAGCGGUGAAAUGCGUAGAGAUCAGGAAGAACACCAGUGGCGAAGGCGACUUACUGGACUGUAACUGACGCUGAGGCAUGAGAGCAUGGGGAGCAAACAGGAUUAGAUACCCGUGUAGUC
This 441-nucleotide ribosomal RNA is filed under the name uncultured bacterium. RNAcentral's name for it is "partial 16S ribosomal RNA". It matches the Rfam family "Bacterial small subunit ribosomal RNA", at positions 338 to 795 of the family's 1533-position model. The record is from RNAcentral.